CUAGACAAUACUGAUGUGUCAUGCGCUUAAGAUUCAGCUCUGAGAGUCGAUGCUCGAAAGAGCCGGUGUUCGAGUCUAAGCAUGGCAUGCCCGUUUGAUGACGAACCUGUGGACGUGGAGACGUUUUCCACUCGGUGAGAGUUGGAAAACCAGCAGGGACACCGGCCCUUGAGGACCAGGAGUACCCACCCCUGCACUAGAGAGACAUGGACAUAACGUGAACCUUGGCUGUGCAAAGCUAAACUACUUUCAACUUCCCACAGGUGAUCCCUCGCACGCUGCCUGUAAACAAGUAAAUAACAAAAUCACACAGUUUUCCUUUAACAUCCAUAUUCACUGUAUCACAAGAGAUUCUUCACAGACUUCACAACAACCACAGCUCAUGCACGUUCAGAUUCCAACAUCAGUGUAUAUCAACGAUGCAGCUAAGGGCAGCCCUCCACCCACACCCUGUAGCCGUGUUGGUCAGUGCAGCCCCACACUAUCAGGUGGGUUAGACUUCUCAGUAUAGCUAGAGUUGGAAGAACUGGCGUCUCCAUAGACUCCUUCUUUGUCCAUCACUGUUGUACUGGAAGCUGCGGCACUGCACCCUCUGUGUUGUCCUGGAAACCUCAUCCGAUGCCCAGCCUUUCUGCUUGAACCCAGUUGGCCCAGUUUGCUCAUGGCCUUCGCACCGAACACAUAAUCUCUUGCUUCCAGGCCAUUCGGAGAUCCAACAUACUUCCGCUGUGUCACCGUCUGCUUUCAUUGGCCUCUACUUUCAACUUCCCACAGGUGAUCCCUCGCACGCUGCCUGUAAACAGGUCAGCUACUGGGUGACCUGGCUUCUUUGUCUUUAAAGGUUUCAUUAAUUCUACAGCCAUCAGCCUGGCAUCUGGAAGAGACUUUAUUAUAGUGAUCUGAUUAGAUUCAUUAUCACAAUAUUGAGUCAUCUCUUUGCCCAUAAUUUUUGCACAGUUUAUAAAUAAUUGUUGCAAUGCAUUUUCUCGUUCUGUUUAAGGUUCCGUUUUGCAGAUUUGUCCUUGUAGGUUUUUAUUAAACCCUUCAUCUCUGCACACUGCCUCAAAUUAAAUGUCCCCUUUAACGGCCAGGGCGACGUGGAUUCAUGUUUCUGUUUCCUCCAUUUGUGUGAGCAUUUCUCAAUCUCCUCCUUCAACACUUUGACUGACUCAUCCACUGACCUCAUUGUUUAGUAUGUACUUUUACUCCACAGAUGACUCUAUACUGUAUAUAUGUAUACUUAAAAAUAUCCUCACUGACAUCUUGGUUUGGCCUCUGUUUUAAACAACUGGCCUAAUAAUCAUUCCUAGUGACUGUGAUGACCCACAGGAAAUCAUGAACAUUGGUUUUGCUCACAAAAAUGCAGAUGCAGGUGACUCCCUAACUCCCUACGCGUAGCUGCAUAAGACUAGUUUACUGUAUGUUUAUUAACUUUACCUAAUCAACCUAAAGUCUGACAAAAAGUGAAAACUGAAAAUGGAAAAAUGGAAACUAGAUUCCACCAGGCCAGAUACAUUAUACCCAUGCAAU
This is a long non-coding RNA of Betta splendens (Siamese fighting fish), 1530 nucleotides long. RefSeq lists it as uncharacterized. The transcript is spliced from 3 exons. The record is from RefSeq and is a predicted model, not a curated record. Lineage: Eukaryota; Metazoa; Chordata; Actinopteri; Anabantiformes; Osphronemidae.